RNAcentral lists this ribosomal RNA (1115 nucleotides) under Myelochroa aurulenta. Its description in RNAcentral is "eukaryotic LSU rRNA". It matches the Rfam family "Eukaryotic large subunit ribosomal RNA", at positions 82 to 1124 of the family's 3401-position model. Lineage: Eukaryota; Fungi; Ascomycota; Lecanoromycetes; Lecanorales; Parmeliaceae. The record is from RNAcentral.
AGUAACGGCGAGUGAAGCGGCAAUAGCUCAGAUUUGAAAUCUGGCCCCUUCGGGGUCCGAGUUGUAAUCUGCAGAGAGUGCUUCGGGUGAGACCGCGGUCUAAGUCCCUUGGAACAUGGCCUCACAGAGGGUGAGAAUCCCGUAUGCGACCGUGGCUCGAGCCCGUGUGAAGCCUCUUCGAAGAGUCCAGUUGUUUGGGAAUGCAGCUCAUAGUGGGUGGUAAAUUUCAUCUAAAGCUAAAUACUGGCUGGAGACCGAUAGCGCACAAGUAGAGUGAUCGAAAGAUGAAAAGCACUUUGGAAAGAGAGUCAAAAAGUACGUGAAAUUGUUGAAAGGGAAGCGUUUGCAACCAGACCUGCCCGUAGGCGAUCAGCCGCUGUUCUCAGCGGUGCACUCGCUCUGCGAUCAGGCCAGCAUCGGUUUCGGCGGUUGGAUAAAGGCCUUGGGAAUGUAGCUCCCCUUCCGGGGAGUCUUAUAGCCCUCGGUGCAAUGCGGCCAGCCGAGACCGAGGACCGCGCUUCGGCUAGGAUGCUGGCGUAAUGGUUGUAAGCGACCCGUCUUGAAACACGGACCAAGGAGUCUAACAUCGAUGCGAGUGUUUGGGUGUAAAACCCAUGCGCGGAAUGAAAGUGAACGGAGGUGAGAACCCUGAAGGGCGCAUCAUCGACCGAUCCAGAUGUCUUCGGAUGGAUUUGAGUAUGAGCAUCGCUGUUNGGGACCCGAAAGGUAAAGCUGAACUUGCUCGAUAUCACAGAAUCUAUGCUAAUAUUUUGACCAGAUGGGUGAACUAUGCCUGAAUANGGGUGAAGNCCAGAGGNAAACUCUNGGUGGAGGCUCGCAGCGGUUCUGACGUGCAAAUCGAUCGUCAAAUUUGGGUAUAGGGGCGAAAGAGUAAUCGAACCAUGUUAUUUUGCGCUACAGGUGGUUAAUAAAAGCAUGUUGAGGUGCUUUCAGUCCUUCGGGGCGACAUCACUACUUGCAUGGACGAAUCUUCCAAGGUUGACAUGGUGCGGUUUUCCCCGGUAGGAGUUCCGUUCACAGACCAAAUAGUGAUGGCCGGGCUCCCUUUAUGGGGGGCAUAUCCGGUUUAGAUAUGGCCGAGUCCCACUUCUAAC